AGAUUCUCGAACAAGAGCAUACAAAUACUUGAUAUGAGUUGACUAGCCUUACUUGCCUAUCAGGAGAAGACCCCAGAACUAAACUUUUCUUUUAAUCUGGUAGUCUCGGAUCACCACGGGG
This 121-nucleotide unclassified non-coding RNA is filed under the name uncultured fungus. RNAcentral's name for it is "sequence contains ITS1". Lineage: Eukaryota; Fungi. The record is from RNAcentral.